UUUAUGCUUUGUUAUCAUUUUCCCCAUAUCCAGUGCUCACAGAGAAGAUGAGAUGUAUUCCAGAAGCCCUCUGCAGGGAACUGUUCUCGCAAGAGGAAGCACUUGAACAGUUAGUACAGAAGGAGACGGGCUCCAUUGGUCAAGGCAUACUGAUCUUCUCUAGGAGCUGGUCUGUGGAUCUGCACUUGCCAAAGAACGAGGAAGUCAUCUGUGAUGCACUUCUGAUUUCCAAGGACAAUCCACCGGUCCUGUACACCUUCCUCAGGAUGGAAGAGGAAUUAGAAAAUGGUUCCACUCUCCACAGGGAACUAGAUGAGAAGAUAAAGGGGUAUUCUUCCCAAACUGCCCAAGUUUAAAGCAGAUGCUUACAAAACUUGGUAAUUAUACUGAGAAAAUAUGUAUCACGACGAAGAUAUUCUGCUUGAACCCUAAGGGAAAAAUAAUUGCCUUUUAUGAUUCAAGUGAGAAAGCAUUUUAUCCUGCGUCCUACUAUGUUGCAACAUUUGAAACCAUGAUAGACCAGCUGAAUGCUCUUUUUAUGGUCUUAAAGAAACUCGGGUCUGUGAGUGAGCAGUGGGCCUCUGAGAUUUUCAAUUAAUAUAGAUCGCUUAUAGGAAAAUUCCCUGAGGAGGUUUAAAUGGUGUCAAGGCCUCAUCCAAAUCAUAGAAGGUGCACUGGGCUACUGAGAAAUUUUUCAUCAUAAAGAGGAUGAUGAUCUCCAAGUCUGAAAAAUGAUCUCCAAAAAUGCUGCAAGCAAAGCAACUUCACCUAAUUGGAAAAAUAAAUGUAGCCUGUGUUUACUUCUUCCUGAGCCUUUGGGGAUUAUGAUUUGGGAGAUUUUAGAAUUCAAGUGUUCCAGACUCGGAACAUAUGUAAAAAGAUUUUUACAUAUGUAAAAAGAUUAUGCUUAAGGGUGAUUAGGAAACUUAAUCAGUUCACUAUUCUGUGCACGAUGGUUAUUUACUCGGUUCCUGGUUCAUGGAUAGACUUUGUUCCAUUUUUGGAUCAGGACAGACUGCUGACCCUUAACAAGAAUGAGAACUGUCCAGGACCUACUCAUAGAACUUUGUAACUUGGAAAAUAUCAUUGUUGAUGAAAGUCAUAAUUUCCCCAGUGGGAAUGAAAAAGAAGGGAAAUGUCAUCUCCCCCAAAGAAAGACCCCAGGAAUUCUUUAGGUCUUCUUGGACUACUUUACCUCUGCUCACUUGGAGGAGUCGAAACUUUCCUGAUCACUCUCGUAGCACCCUUAAAUACUCACCCGAAAAGUUAUUUUUCUACAAAUGGUUCUGAAUAAAGAAUGUGAGUGGAUGAAAUCCUACAAAAGCUCUCUCACUCAUCUCUGGGGGAAAGCAGCUGAAGGAAGUAGAAACCCUCACCGAUAUGGAAAGAUUCCAUAAGAAGAGGAGCACCAGGGUUUGGCGUUUCUCCCUCAUCAAAGAUGAGCUAGGGACUGUCCUGAAUCCAGUGGAGCCAGAUACAUCCUGGCUGCGGUGUUCUGAGUCCACGUCCAGGAGGCUCAGUGGGUCCUUGGAACAGAGAAUAGAGCUGGGAGCCCCGCAAGGCGCAGUUGAGAGGAGAGGAGCAAGGCCCUCAGAAUUCUGAGAAGAAGUAAACAUUACACAGACCAAAUUUACAAGCCACGUUGUCGUUUGAAUGUAAAAGAUAAUGACCUGUGCUGGUCAUUAUCCUGAAAGACGUAAUCCCAAACUCCAUCAUUGCAAAUGUUUAAAUCCCAAAAGAUCAAAAUGCCGAGUCUGGAACACUUGAAUUCUAAAAUCUCCCAAAUCAUAAUCCCCAAAGGCUCAAAUCUCCAAUGGUGAAAUUCUAAAAAGUUCCAAUUCCCAAAACCACAAAUCCCUGAAAAAAAAGAGGCCAUUUAGAGGGACGGGAAGCUGAAUUCUGGGGAAGUGACUGGCCACGGGUCAAGGCGGUGUGUCAAGGCAACAGUGACAACUUCAAUGUAAAUGUGUCAUGGUGUGCACUGACGUUCCCUCCUGAUGAUGAAACUCCAGGAGCUUAUGUUGAGUUCAAGUCAUGUUUGCCUGAAGGAGCCAGAGAGGUUACUGACUUGUGUAAUAUGGACACCAGCACCGUAUGAUAAGAAGACGCUAUGCAUGUUACUGUUCCGGUCACUGUAUUGUUCCUGCAAUCCUUGGUCUGUAUGGGAACGCAUGUGGGAUAGGUUUCCACGUCUCCAAAACACAGCACGGAGGUUGCGAAUAUUUCAUAGGAAUUGCUUGCGUCAGUAUUUAUCGAACAUGCAACAGUUUUGAAAGGAGCAGUGCCAUGAAGGAAAUGGACGUCAAUGUGUUCUCUCAGGAGAGCCAAGUCCUAAAGCUCAAAAGCAGCCAUUCAUGGCAGUCAGUGCUUCACAGUAAACCAGGCUCGCUGACACCCACCUGUUAUCCCAGUGACUUGGGAGGCUGAGGCAGGAGGAUUGUGAGUUCAAAGCCAGCCUCAGCAAAAGCGAGGCGCUAAGCAACUCAGUGAGACCCUGUCUCUAAAUACAAAAUAGGGCUGGGGAUGUGGCACAGUAGUUGAGUGCCCCUGAGUUUAAUGGCCGGUACACCCCCAUCUAUCUAUCUAUCUAUCUAUCUAUCUAUCUAUCUAUCUAUCUAUCAUCUAUCGUUAAUGAGCUGGAGGCCUGAGGUUCAACCAGAUUUUAUGGAGUUGGAGUACAGUCGUGCAUACAAUGUAUCCCUUUAAUGCACAGUCAUACGAUGAGUUUAAUUAAUCUUUUUUUUCUAUGUUUGAGCAUUUUCUCUUCAUAUCAUUUCCAGUACUGGAAAUAUAGAUGUGUAAUGACUUUUAGAGAGUCCAAUUUUGUUUCUGCACUUUUGCAAAUUGGACUCCAUGAAAGUACAUUACCAUAGCGUUGUGUUGACUUUCUACAGAAUUAUUGUGCGUAUAGAUAAAAAUGGCGAAACUCCCUCCAUAAGUGAAAGUCUUUCUGGUAGAUCUGGGAUUGGAAGGAUAAAAUUAUAAAGAUUCCAGUUCUUGGGUGGUUUUAGAGACAGCGGUGACUCUCCUGGUUUUGAUCAGGCUCAUCAGUAGAUUUGGGUUAUCCUUCAUCGAAUUCGGGUGACUGCAGUAAAAAAUUGAUGUGGACACAGUUGCCAAUCUGAGUGGUCCACAUUUGUAUGUGUCGUUGUCGGAAGUAUUUCUUUUGGAUACAGUGAAUCUGCUGAGAAUUGUUAUGCAAAUGCAACUAUCUUUUGGACCCUUGAGGGUUCAUCAUUACCCUGAGGUAAUUUCAUACUCAAGAAGAGAGAAGUGAGAAAAAGGCCUCCCACCAACACCAGUGUCUGUCACGGGAAUUGCAUGGUUAUGUCUUUGAGAUGAGACUGGAGCUCUUCUCCUCCCAGUUCAUGAAUGGUGAUUCAGAGGAAGGACAUCUGCAGCCUGAGGACUGAGAGGAAUGAGGAUGGACUCUGAUCCAGGUACGAGGGAGAAAGCGCCACCCUGCUUGUCCUUUCUCCCUCUUUGUGGCUUCUGGGUCCUUUAGUCUUUGUGACUUGGAGCUCCUCCUACCUCCUGCAGUUUGCUAUCUCCAAAUGUCCUUGAUCUUCAUAAAUGGACAAGUUUUAUUGGGAGGAUGAGGAAAAGCCAAAUAAAAUAUUUGGUGAAUGAUGAUUUUCCGCAAGAGAAGAAAUAGAGAGAAAUGUCUGAGGGGGAUCCCGUGUUGAACUCUACAUUUCUUAGCUUCUUUUCCUUGGAGUUGGCUGGAGCAUCAGAAUAAUGACUAGCUUGUGCCUCAGUCUAGCAGGAGACCAACUCUGGGAGGCAAGAGCCAAUGCUGGGUCAGGGGUGUUUCCAAAGGGCUUGGAGGAAAUGCAAGGCCAUAAAACACACUGUGAUUAGAAUUUUAGGAGAGCACUUUAAGUUAUAGUACAGUUCCAGCAAAGAACUUCAAAGGUACAAGAGGGAGCUUUAUACUGAGUGGGGCAAUAGGACUGGAGAUUCAAAAGAAAGUCUCUUCAUGAUGGAUCUUUGGGGACCUGGGUGUAGGGUCAAGAAAGAUUGAUGAGUCUCAUCUGCUGGCCUUCAUUACACCAGGGGAAGUGAAAUUGAGAUACACCUUGGUCUGGCCUCUUCUAGUGAGGAGGGGUGAAAUCACCUAAAUUGAGAUGUUUUCUUCUUUCAGGGUGGUCUGAAACUUUUGAAUCUCAGCUGAGUCUGUCCCAGUGUCUUCCAUGUUGCAGACUACUGUCUUCAAGAAAGGUCUAGAACAGAAAGCCAAUUUUCAAUUUUCUUUCCAGGUGUUAGCUGCCAGUUUACUUUAGGAGAGAGGGAGAUAGUUUAAAACAUUGAUUUAUAAAUUGAUGAAAAAUUUGUACUGCAACCCAGGUGUAUCAAGAGGCAAUGUCACAAGCCUGUUGGGGAAUGAGUUUCAGCUGCCUUUAGAAAUCAUCCAUUUUUGUGCUUGCAAAACCCAGCUGAUUGUCAGAAAUGGUAGAGGAGGUAGUUAAACACACAGGUAGAUGUCCCUACUCCACCAAGAACUUGUCCACAUAUGACUUCCAGCUAUGAGGCCUAAACAUGUGCACGUAAGCAAGCUUCUCAAAGGAUUCUGAUGCUCUUCCCAUGUUGGAACCACUGAUUUAGACACGGUAGGGAGAGCGUUAGACUGGAGGACAUGGUGGGUUAAUUGACUUCCUCUUCUCAGCUUCUCAGGUAUAUAGGAGAUACACCUAUAGAAAGAGUACAGACAUUCAGCUCAUAGAAUAUGAAAGGAGAGACCAUGAGUAAUUUCUCUUGGAAAAAUCACCAAGGUCCCGAUGGACUACAAUAUAAUCAUUCAAGAUCAGGUGCAAUGUUAGAUGACCUUUCCCACCCCUGCCCCUGACUUUUUUCACCUAGAUUUUGUCUAGGAAUUGUUACUUAGAAAAGGAAGUGUAGAUGUUUGAGGAGGGAAAUGUGUUUUUUACCUUCACAUAUUGAACCUUUUCAGUGUGAGAUGCGACAGCAUGUGACAUAGGCAUGUCUUAUGUAUAUCCAAACUUGUGUCAAGGGUCAGGUAAUUAGAAUAUUAGGACUCCUGUAGUUGCACCUUCAAGAAAAUAUUUUAUUUACCUGAAAUCUUUCUAGUCCUUAACAAAAAGGUGUUUAAACAUUCCACAACGAGGAUCUGAGAUUGAAGAGUGAUUGCAUAUCUGGUUUUCACUUCCUUGGGCUCAACAAAUUCCAUUUAUUUGGCACAAGUGCUCUCUAUGAGAUAAUAGAAAAACAACAUCGUUCUUUUCACCAGAUUUUUAGGAUACAGAUUGAGGAGAGGUGACCCAGAGGGAAAUUCUCUUAUGUUGUAUUACGGGAGCUUUAUUCUUUUUUUGAAGUGUUAACUGAGACUGAUACAAAACAAUACCAACACAUUUUAUAAUCUCUGAUGUUUUCAUUCUAGAACCACCAGGAUGUUCCUGAUAUCGUGCCAAAUUCUCCUGGAAUUUGGCAUGAAGGACCGGAGGGGAUAAAAAGUCAGCAAAUGCAUCCUCCUCCCAGGGAAUUCUGAAAUUCUCUAGAAGCAGGGCUGUGGACCUGGACUUGCAAGCCAAGCAGGGAGUCAUCUGGGAUUCUCUGCUGAUCCCACUGAGCAGCAUCUCCGUCCUCUGCAUUGUCCUCCGGGAGCAGGAUGCAGAAGGGUAGGUCUCCUUGCACCCACUUCCUCUUUCCCUGAAGUAGAAGCUGGUGAACAUGGGCAGAAUAACGGGAAAAGUUUGUGUCAUUACCAGGGUCUUCUACCUGAGAUCUGAGAGCCAUGCAGAGUGCAUGGAAGGAACAAUUCCUCUGGUCCUGUUAUCUUGCAGACACCCAGGAUUGUCUUGAGAUGCUCCAUUUCUGUCUUGAGCUUGGCCGUGAGAUUUUAAAUUUGCUAACCAGCUCUGCCACGCGACCAGUGCUGGCUUCGUGAAAGAAGGUUUGGUUCAUAAGUAAUUGCUAGGGAGUUUAAAAUUAAAGAGACAAGACUCUCAUUAAUACCAGCUUUAAUACCAGCUCCAAGAUGGCUUCUCCUAGCUCCUGCCCCUCCAGCCACCUAAUGCGGUGGUGAGGUUUACAGAAGAGACUAGCGAGAGAGGGAGAACACGCCAGGGAGUGGGCUUUUAUUGGGGAACAAAAAAUUCCAGGGAAAAUCCCAUCCAAUGAAGGUUAAGGGGGGCAGCAUCCCAAGGUCAAGAUUUGGUCUUCAGGGCAGUGGCCAGGCACGCCUCUGCACUGACAAGCCCUCAGACCUGGGACAGGGUGGGGAAGGCUCAGACACAGCUGUGUCUAAGUGCCUCUCACCCAGCCAGGGAGGUAACUCAAAUCACGUGCGAGGAUGGCCUCCCACAACCAGCCUCUGAAGAACUUCAUCUGGUAAGCAGCUGGAUCUCAUACCUAUAUGUGUUAUUUAAUCAGGGAUUAUUUUUCUGCUAAGCCAACUUGUUGCUUGAGAAUUACAUGGUGAAAUGAUUUGUGACAACGGUACCAUAUUCAGGGGAGCACAAAAGAGUGAUUUUUCUCCUUUAUAAAGUGAAGAAAACCUGAGUGUGUCAUUUUCUUGUUACAGUAAUAAAAGGAUCUGUGAGGCAGUGUCCCGGAAAACCUUCAUGAAGAGGGACUUUGAAGACAUUCAACACAUCACUGUGGAUGAAGCUCAGAAUUUCCACACUGAAAAUGGGGACUUAUAUGGGAAGGCAAAAGCCGUCACUCAGAGGGAAAAGGAAGUCCAGAAAUUCUCUGGAACUUUCUGAACCAUUUUCAGACCAGCCGCUUGGAUGUUAGCGGUCUCCCUCCUCUUUCAUCCCAGUAGCUAAGAGCUCACCAGAGUGAUCCCCAAUGCAGAUGAAGUCGCCCAAUACCUACCAGAAGUGAUGAAGGUCAUUAGAAGAAAACCACCAUGCAACAUCCCCCAUGGGUCCUUGGAGGUGCUUAUGAAAGCCGAACAACUUCGGGGUUCUAAGGAACUAUGCCAAUUGAGAGAGAGAUUAGAAAUGUGAGCCACUGCAUCUGCAUUUUUUCCUGAAUUCUUGAAAUUUGUCUUUGCUCUAUUGAUUCAGGACAUGGAAGAUUCCCGAGAUAAUUCAGUCACUGAAUUAUCUCAAGCAUUUUGGCAGAACAAAGAGCACUGGUAUGGAUAUGUAAGGUACUUCAGUUGCCCUUUUUCAGAGAAAUUUUAGACCAAGAGAAAGCACACAUACACACCUCUUUUUUUUUUUCUGGAUUUCAACAGGAGAUUGUAUUAUGGAACAGAAUCAGAUUCUACAGGUGUGUAUAAGCUCCUAAGGAACAGGAAUAGGAAAGAAAGUCUUUUAAAAUCUACAAGUCUUCUGGGGAUGUCACUUUGUGGUAGGUUCUUACCAAGCAUGCCUCUGGUCCUGGGUUAGACUCACGUGGACACAUCCCAACAUCAAUAGCCUUGAAAUGACGAAUUCUCAUCUCAGUUCUACUUACUAAUGUAUAACAUAGCUACUGAAGUAUUAAUUCGAUCUUUUUUUUUUUACCAUUUUUAUUAAGAAUUUUUCAUUUGUUAUUUUUAGUUGUAUAGGACAGUAGAGUGUAUUUUGACACAUUAUACAUAAGUAGGGAGGGAAGAAUAAAAGUAUUGACUCAUCCUUAAACUGUGAUUGUCCUUCUCUUUCAUA
This 7616-nucleotide long non-coding RNA is filed under the name Marmota monax (woodchuck). The record is from RNAcentral. Lineage: Eukaryota; Metazoa; Chordata; Mammalia; Rodentia; Sciuridae.